GAGUCGACGCAAAGCCGGCGGACGCCCUUCGACGGGUGCGUAUAUACGUGCGAGGCCAGCCCCGCCCUCUGGUUCGUUCGUUGUUCGAUCGGAGGGAGAUAUCGAUAGGGAGAGAGAAGAUGGCCGGCAGCUAGAGUGGCUUAUUCAAAGGCAGGUAGAUGAGGGAUUCGGAAGAGAAUAUCCUCCAUUCGGAUGGAUGGUGGCAGACACCGCCCAACCGCACGACCAUCGCCCCAAGCUGAGGCCUGAGAGGAACAUGGGGGCUCGCCCCCAAGUCAAGCGCCAUUCCGCGCGCUGCGAAAGUCUCCACCCACCUAACCAAGAAAAAGAAGAGAAGAAAAAAAAAAGCUAGUAGUAGCCUGCAUCUACCUCUGAUGGAGACAUUCAUGGAUCCAUCCAUUCGAUCCAACUCGAUAAUUUCUUUUCGGCUAACAUCAAGGUUUGCAAGCUCAGCUGCUGCUGUCCUGCUGGAGGGCACUGAGCUGAUUCCAAACCUGCAGUCCAACUAAGUUUGGUGGGAGGUGUACUACUGCUCCUCAAAAAGAAAGUGCCCGCAAAUUUACCUUCUCGACCAGCAUCACAGAAAGCCGGCCAGUAUAAUUCUCUCUUUUUUUCCAUGGAAAAAAUUGUAAAUUGCAUUUUAAAUAACUAAUGUUCCUUCCACGUCAUUAUGUUGAUG
Molecule: long non-coding RNA, 679 nt
Filed under: Phoenix dactylifera (date palm)
Lineage: Eukaryota; Viridiplantae; Streptophyta; Magnoliopsida; Arecales; Arecaceae
Description: long non-coding RNA (PDAC_LNC001103)
Source: RNAcentral